This is a long non-coding RNA of Nerophis ophidion (straightnose pipefish), 2084 nucleotides long. RefSeq lists it as uncharacterized. The transcript is spliced from 4 exons. Lineage: Eukaryota; Metazoa; Chordata; Actinopteri; Syngnathiformes; Syngnathidae. The record is from RefSeq and is a predicted model, not a curated record.
CGCAAUUUUCUAUCCAAUCAGCACUAAUCCCAAAUUAAAUGGCCACGCCCAUAUUAACGCCCUGUUCCGGUUUUUUAACCAAUCAGUGGGCUUCCCUCUUGUUCGCACCUGAUCCUUGAUUGCCAAACAUAUUAACCAUGUUGUCACCAAGCUAACGCUUAUUUUAAGCUUCGCAGAUAAAGUUAUGGUUUGUUAAGCUUUUAUUUGUUGACAUUUUCUAGAAAAUGUUAUGUUUAUGAAGUGUAAAAACGACCCCUGCCUUCUAAACUGCACGUCAAUUUGAUUCUAAUCUGCCCCAGUUUUAGGCCCUGUCUGACAUCUUCCGCCCGGUGGAAUUGAACUCCCACUAAGUAGCUGCGGACUCUCUUACCUCCUCCCACCGGAGACACUGGCGGUGGCCACACCCCUCCGACUUUCAGAUUCCAUGUGGCCCUGCGAUGAGAUGGUGACUGAUGCCUACUCAGACUUUUUCUGUCCAGGUCCCUGCGGCGUUCCCAAGCCAGCCGGGAGACAGUCUUCCCAAUGUGUCCUGUGUCUUCCCAAUAUGUCGUGGGUCUUCCUCGUGGCCUCCUACUGGUCGGAGGUGCCGUAAACACCUCCCUAGGGAGGCGUUCGGGUGGCAUCCUGACCAGAGGCCCGAACCACCUCAUCUGGCUCCUCUCCAUGUGGAGGAGAAACGGCUUUACUUUGAGUUCCUCCCGGAUGGCAGAGCUUCUCAUCCUAUCUCUAAGGGAGAGCCCCGCCAACGCCAGAGGAAACUCAUUUCGACCGCCUGUACCCGUGAGGAUUGUAACGUAUAUCGACCAGUAAAUUGAGAGCUUUGCCUUCCGGCUCAGCUCCUCCUUCACCCCAACAGAUCGAUACAGCGUCCGCCUUACUGAAGACGCCGCAACGAUCCUCCUGUCGAUCUCACGAGCCGCUCUUCCCUCACUCCUGAACAAGACUCUGAGGUACUUGAAGUCCUCUACACAGGGCAAGAUCUACUGCAAUUUAUUUUCUUGAUGUCUUUUAGUAUUUCUUACAGCCCAAAUGUGAUUAGUUUUGUGUCAUGUCUCUGUUAUAUAUAUAUAUAUAUUUUUUUAAACAAUAUUGGACAAUUGAAUGAACAACCUGCAAGACUUAUUUGCCAAGCUUUGUAGGACUUGUUCAGGACUCUCCUUCAGAGCCAAUGAAAAAAAAAACUAUAACCCAUCGAUUAGUUCAAGUGACAUAAACAAUCAUCGUUCACUCGCAAGGAAAAAAGCUAACAAGUAGUGAAUUGAAUUAUAUUCAUAUAGCGCUUUUUCUCUAGUGACUCAAAGUGCUUUACGUAGUGAAACCCACAAUAUAAGUUAUAUUUAAACCAGUGUGGGUGGCACUGGGAGCACGUGGGUGAAGUGUCUUUCCCAAGGACACAACGGCAGUGACUUGGCUAGCGGAAGCAGGGAUCGAACCUGGAACCCCCAAGUUGCCGGCACGGCCACUCUACCAACUGAGCUAUACAGCCCCCCCAGAUAGUCGACAGGAGCUGUGGUUAAGAGAGUUGACAUAGUCUGCUCGACCCUGACAAAGAGCUUCAAGUUGAGAUGGUCAAGGUGUUUGUAAUUACAAUAAAUAUUGAAAUGACACAAAUAAAACUGCCAUUUGAGCAAUAAAAACUUGAAAAUACUUUCCUCAUAUUGUGCUUAUGAAUACCCCCCAAGAGACUUAAUUUCUUGCAUGCGUUAUGAUUGAUGGGGGGAAAAGUUGGUUUAACAAAGCCACCGAGCACUCGUCUGUCUCUGUGACAACGUGGCCUUGUGUCCGUCAUUUCCCUUUCUCAUAAUUCUCAGCUUGUUCUUUCACAGCUCUUGUUACCAUGACGGCAGCAUGAGAGGGGGCGCUUCAGUGACAGUGAACGUUUGGCAAGCGGAUUCUGUGUCUAACAAAUGCAUAAGAAGUCCAAGGCCAGCUGUCUGUGCAUGCCAGCAGCCAUGAGCGGCGCACUUUGCCAUGCUCAGAGCUCACAACGGUGACUCAGAGCUGUUGAAAAAUGUAUCACACUUAAAUGGUGCCAGGCCAUGUGUCGUCACCAUUUAACUGCAUCUGCUGUGGGGCCUGCAGAC